This 519-nucleotide long non-coding RNA is filed under the name Vitis vinifera (wine grape). RNAcentral describes it as "long non-coding RNA (VVIN_LNC000775)". The record is from RNAcentral. Lineage: Eukaryota; Viridiplantae; Streptophyta; Magnoliopsida; Vitales; Vitaceae.
UGUAUGUCCAUUAAUGUGACUCUUUACCCUUGCAUCUCCUUCACUCUUCCCGUUGAACAAGAGGAGAUUCAAAGAAACCUUUCAUCUCUCUUUUUUGUUGGAAGUUGCAAGACUGGAUUAUGAGGUAAUCUUCAGACAAUGCAUCUUCUUAUACACUUUCUUCCUUUCUUUUUAUUUAUUUUUAUUUUUUUUUCUUGUGUUUCCUCCACUCUUAGUAAACCCAAAUGAAUUUCUCAAGGAAAAAGAAAUUGGCCCUAUCUUCUUCCAGUUAGUCAUGAUGCAGUAACAAAAUUAAACGCCCAAAGAGAAUCACUAUCUGUGGAUCCAUUCUAGUUUCUCCUCUUCUGAUUUCCUUGUUGCCAUCUUUUCAACAGUGUGGUAAAUAGGACGAUGUAAUGUGUGAGCAAGUGAUGAUUUCAACGAAUAGUUCACCAUAUCUCAACUAUUAACCUUCUGGUUUGCUUGUUUGUCCUAGUGUGUUUUUUUUUUCUUUUUUUUUUUUUUCUUUUUUUCCCUGAU